Misgurnus anguillicaudatus (oriental weatherfish) is the source of this 2701-nucleotide non-coding RNA. The record is from RefSeq and is a predicted model, not a curated record. Lineage: Eukaryota; Metazoa; Chordata; Actinopteri; Cypriniformes; Cobitidae.
GAUAAAAAGGAAAUGAAGAAAGAUCAAGCACGCCACCUUACACAUCCAUUCUUGAAGCAUCAUGGUGGAUGAAAGUGGUAGGAUGGUCUAGUCAAAAGCACUGGCUACACAUCCAAACCACGUGAAGGAGCAAAUUGUUGCAUUCCACCUGAGGCCUUAAUGAGGUUGCAAUACUUGGCCAUGCCAGCAACCGUCUGGGCCUUAGGUGUGGUGCUCUAUGAGAUGGUGCACGAAUUUCCACCCUUUCCUAAAGGUGUGCAACGUUAAGGUGUGGUUAGGAUUACGGGACGCAGUUAAACCAUGACUAGGUGAAAGACAAAGAGAUUACAUUUUGUACAUUUUACUCAUUUGGUAUUUUAGACAUUUUUAUCUAAAGCAACUUACAAUGUAUUCAAGGUUUAUAUUGUUCAUCAGUAUGUCUGCUCCUCUCUCACAACCUUUUGUGUGGUUAACACAAUUCACUACAAACUGAGCUACAGGAACAAUAUCUGCUACAAGAACAUGACAGACAGACAAUCAGCUCUUUUCUAAAACUUACAGAUGCCCGUAAUCUGAUUCGAUGGUGCCUGUACAUGAAUCCAGAUCAACGACUAACAAUCGAUCAGAUCUUAGCACAUCAAUGGUUUAAAUGCACCAGAACACAGGUGCCACGCCCAUGCCAAAGGUUGCCAAACAUUUUGUGCCAAAAGGUCCUGAAUCUUUUAAUGCUGAAUACGAGUAUAGAAUGAGUAAAGAUGAUUUUUUUGGGAGUGGUGCCUUUGGCAGGGUGGAUAGAGGAACCUGUAAAGCUGAUGGCAAAUUGGUCGCCAUCAAGCGUAUAGAGCGAUGUGAGCACAAAACAGUUAUUUGUUAUGCAAGUCAUCAAAACUAAUUUAACUAUCCAUAACAUAACUAAGAUGAACUAGACUAGACCGUAAAGGCUGAAGCACCAAAGAACAGUGAUCUGGAAACCCUGUUGACCAUAUUCAUAAAUCUUAAAGCCAUUUAGAUUACAUGCAAUUUAUUCAAUGCAAUACCAAUACAUUACUUGCAGUGUAUUCAAGGUUUAUAUUUUUCAUCAGUAUGUCUGCUCCUCUCCCACAACCUUUUGUGCUGUUAACACAAUUCACUACCAGCUAAGCUACAGGAACAAUGUCUGUUACAAGAACAUGAUAGAUUAUUAAUCAGACAGAAAUAACAACAAUAUAAGCAAAAAAUCUCAAUAUGCCAUGUCAAUAAAUGUCAGCUCUUUUCUAAAACCUACAGAUGUCUGUGAUCUGAUUCAACAGUGCCUGAAGAAUAAUGGAAAGCAACAAUCAAGCAGAUCUUGGCACAUGAGUGGUUUAAAAUGGAUAAGACCCGUCCAGUGGUGGCCAAGGCUACUUUAGGGAAACCGUUGUUUAUUAAAAGAAAAAUUUUAAAGUUCCUCACAUCUGAUUUACAGUCUGUCAGGAUCCUGCCGGAACCUUGUCUCAUUUUGUAUAUUAGUUCAGUAUGGCAGGGUUCUGACAAUACAAUGUCUUGUGUGGGGAAUGCGUGGCCUGUAUUGUGUAUGCUAACCACUUUUUACCCGAUCUCUUACUUGUUAUGAUUUUCACCUGUUCACCUCAUUUGUUCUCCUAUUUAAAGUCCUUGUGUUUGGGGUUCUUCACUGGUUUGUUUUGCCUUGUCGAUGUGAGUACACUGUUGUAUUGUUUAGUGAAGUCAUAGUCCAGUUUGUUCUUUGUUUUGUAGUCUAGUCUAAUUAUAGUCCUGAGUUCACCCAGUCCUCUGUUCAGUUUUUGUUUGUGGUUUACCCCAUCAUGGGGUUUUUUUUGUUUUGUUAACUGUUUUCUAUAAUAAAAGUGUUAAUCAUUACGACUACGUCUGCGCCUGGGUUCGUUCCCUGUCUAACCUUAACACAGUCUGUUAAUGAAGGAAAAGAUCUCAUGUUAACUGCAGUAACUUGCGUAAAAGUUGUUUAAGAAAUCUAAAAUCCACGAUAAAUCUUAAACCAUAAAUAUCAGAGCUUAACACAGAGGAUUUUGGGCAACAAAACAAAAUAGUUAAAAGGAAAUAUGGAUUCAUCUUUGUUAGUCAGUCAGGAGCGGCGAGUGAUUUUCUCUUUUGUCAUUUAAUACAUUUUAAUGAAAGAGACUUCAACAGAUACUGUUUAUUAGGGCCCGAGCACUGUGUGGUGCAAAUUUACAUGUGGUAUAGGCGUCAGAAGUGGGCGUGUAGAAAUUACUCAAUAGCACCACCUAGAGGCUUCAGGAAACAUUGUGAUUCACUGCUCUAAGACAGUAAUUCUCAAAGUGUGGUCCGCCAAACCCCCCCAGUGGUCCGCCAAAAGAUGACCUAAGCUAGGCAAGUGUUUAUACAAUCGUCACUUAUUUAAGUAGAUUUUUAAAAUGCACUUGCAAAACUGUGAUAUCAGUUCUUGCCUUUCUGUUUUAAUAACUUAAAAAUGGAUCGGUGGCUAAACCAAAGAGGAGUCAAAAGAAAGAUCAAGCGUCAACUGAAAGCAGCUAAAAUCCACAGAUCUAUUAGUUUUGUAAUGUACUAGUUUUUGUUUCAUGUGUAAAAUCCCUGUAAUUUCAGUGUUUUUGGACAUUAAGGGGAACAUUUUUUCAGCAUUUUAUUGUUACCAUAGUUACAACCAUAGACUUCAUAUACCCACCACCUCAGUUUUAAACUAAUGGCUCUUUGGUAUGACAUUAAGUGGGACCUAGGCUGUUAUAGU